GCCUGUAUGAAGUUGGAAUCGCUAGUAAUCGCGGAUCAGCAUGCCGCGGUGAAUACGUUCCCGGGCCUUGUACACACCGCCCGUCACACCAUGGAAGUCGGUAAUGCCCGAAGUCAGUAGCCUAACCGCAAGGAGGGCGCUGCCGAAGGCAGGAUUGAUGACUGGGGUGAAGUCGUAACAAGGUAGC
Molecule: ribosomal RNA, 187 nt
Filed under: uncultured bacterium
Lineage: Bacteria
Description: partial 16S ribosomal RNA
Rfam family: Bacterial small subunit ribosomal RNA
Source: RNAcentral